GCUCGUGGUGCAGGGCCAGUGGGACGACGCCAUGAGCUACGCCUCCCGCUUCCUGGGGCCGGGUCCUCCUCUGCUUCCUCAGGCAUUUCAGGGCCUUCGACGGCAUGGUCACCGGCGAACACAAUCGGGAUGUCAAGUGUCUCUACCGAGACUACAGGCAGUACCUCAAGCAUGAUGACUCCGUGUCCCACGACGCCCUCAGGAUCCGGUCCAUCACCAUCUCCCUGCUCUACUCGGACCAAAUCAGGGCCUCCCUGGACUGGGAUCGUGUGCAACUGAAGGCAUCGGACAUUGUUAGAGACUUGGCUUACAAGUCGUUUCCGCCAGAGGCGCCAUGUGAAGCAAGAUUUCAAAGCAAGGCCUAAAACUCUUGCCAAGUUUUAUCUUAGGAGGAAGAGGAUGUCUUGUUCGACCCAGCAUCGCAAGUUAAACUGUGGAUUGACUGCUAAGACAAGGAAGUGGCUGGCAGAUAUUAUUGAUGAAAGUUUACAAGCUGGUAACUGUCCUGAACUUCAGUCAAGUGGGAAGGAAGAUGAAAGUUUACAAAGGUAACUGUCCUGAACUUCAGUCAAAUGGGAAGGAAGGUGUUUGUCGUGCUCCAGUCUCCCGCACUAUGCCAGGUUGUCCUACAAAUCUCAAUGAAACCUAUGUGAUCUCAUCAUUGUCAAAUGCAGGUACAAAUAAGCAUGCAAGUCCAGAAGGUUCCAAUCUCAGAAAGAAUCCAAGGAUGGAACUGACUACUUCUGACCAAGAUCCUCGUAGAAAAAUGCAACGAACAACCUGGGGCUUUUGGUGAAACAAGUCUGGUAUCGAUGACUGAAGUUGGGACCGGAGCUCACCCGUCCGCAGAUGCCGUCUUGGAUGGUAUUCACAGCGCCUAGCUGAGUGCAGGUAUCGAUGACUGAAGUUGGGACUGGAGCUCACCCGUCCGCAGAUGCCGUUAUGGGUGGAAAAGAGGCGUUAUGAACUACCGUUGCUUUUAGAACAUUAGGUUGUUUUAUAUUGUUGCUAUUGCUGCUGCUUAAGUUAUUUCUGUCGCUAGCAACAUGAAGCUUGUAAGUUUGAUGGAGCUGCUACUAGCCUACUAGUAUUAUGUUACUCCUAUCUUGCAACUUUGUUUUGAGUACUACCUAAU
Molecule: long non-coding RNA, 1135 nt
Organism: Brachypodium distachyon (stiff brome)
Lineage: Eukaryota; Viridiplantae; Streptophyta; Magnoliopsida; Poales; Poaceae
Exons: 10
Source: RefSeq, a predicted model, not a curated record